GGGAUUGUAGUAUAGUGGUCAGUACUUCUCGUUGUGGUCAUUCACAGCGACCGAGAGGACCCAGGUUCGAUUCCUGGCAAUCCCA
Non-coding RNA from Lasiosphaeris hirsuta, 85 nucleotides. The record is from the annotation of a GenBank genome assembly. NCBI's taxonomy places the organism in Eukaryota, Fungi, Ascomycota, Sordariomycetes, Sordariales, Lasiosphaeriaceae.